CAAUCAGCAAGUAUACUGCCUCA
This 23-nucleotide microRNA is filed under the name Scyliorhinus torazame (cloudy catshark). RNAcentral describes it as "Sto-Mir-34-P1_3p* (star (passenger))". Lineage: Eukaryota; Metazoa; Chordata; Chondrichthyes; Carcharhiniformes; Scyliorhinidae. The record is from RNAcentral.